RNAcentral lists this ribosomal RNA (160 nucleotides) under uncultured Carnimonas sp. RNAcentral describes it as "partial 16S ribosomal RNA". It matches the Rfam family "Bacterial small subunit ribosomal RNA", at positions 355 to 507 of the family's 1533-position model. The record is from RNAcentral. Lineage: Bacteria; Pseudomonadati; Pseudomonadota; Gammaproteobacteria; Oceanospirillales; Halomonadaceae.
UGGGGAAUAUUGGACAAUGGGGGCAACCCUGAUCCAGCCAUGCCGCGUGUGUGAAGAAGGCUUUCGGGUUGUAAAGCACUUUCAGCGAGGAGGAAGUCAUGUGGGCUAAUACCCGACAUGAAGGACGUUACUCGCAGAAGAAGCACCGGCUAACUCCAUG